GGGGGCGUAGCUCAGCUGGGAGAGCGCUUGAAUGGCAUUCAAGAGGUCAACGGUUCGAUCCCGUCCGUCUCCACCA
Molecule: transfer RNA, 76 nt
Filed under: Ruminococcus bromii
Lineage: Bacteria; Bacillati; Bacillota; Clostridia; Eubacteriales; Oscillospiraceae
Also listed under: 20 other names
Description: tRNA-Ala
Rfam family: tRNA
About the family: Transfer RNA (tRNA) molecules are approximately 80 nucleotides in length. Their secondary structure includes four short double-helical elements and three loops (D, anti-codon, and T loops).
Source: RNAcentral